CCAACAUGGAUACCCUGGGAGGUCACUCUCCCUGGGCUCUGUCCUAGUGUCAGAGGGGAGCAUAGGGCUCUGGCCCAUGAUAUACAGGCCCUUUCCACAACAUUGGAAAUGAAACUGGACUCUCAGUCUGUGCCUGCAUAUUCCUACGGUUUUCCAGAGUCUUGUGAGCAAUAACUAAGGAGACACAGCAUGCAGGAAGAAGUC
RNAcentral lists this small nucleolar RNA (204 nucleotides) under Neotoma lepida (desert woodrat). Its description in RNAcentral is "Small nucleolar RNA SNORA73 family". It matches the Rfam family "Small nucleolar RNA SNORA73 family". From Rfam's summary of the family: U17 (SNORA73A and SNORA73B) also known as E1 belongs to the H/ACA class of small nucleolar RNAs (snoRNAs). Vertebrate U17 is intron-encoded and ranges in length from 200-230 nucleotides, longer than most snoRNAs. The record is from Rfam by way of RNAcentral. Lineage: Eukaryota; Metazoa; Chordata; Mammalia; Rodentia; Cricetidae.